This 482-nucleotide ribosomal RNA is filed under the name Starmerella sp. NYNU 16115. Its description in RNAcentral is "eukaryotic LSU rRNA". It matches the Rfam family "Eukaryotic large subunit ribosomal RNA", at positions 62 to 648 of the family's 3401-position model. Lineage: Eukaryota; Fungi; Ascomycota; Dipodascomycetes; Dipodascales; Trichomonascaceae. The record is from RNAcentral.
AAACCAACAGGGAUUGCCCUAGUAACGGCGAGUGAACAGGCAAGAGCUCAGAUUUGAAAGGCACUUUGUGCCAUUGUAUUCUGAAGUUAGGAUUCUUGGAACCGGUACCUAAGUUUUCUGGAAAGAAACGCCAUAGAGGGUGAUAGCCCCGUACGGUACUGACCCAAUAUAGUUUCCUAACAUGGAGUCGAGUUGUUUGGGAAUGCAGCUCAAAUGGGUGGUAUGCUCCAUCUAAGGCUAAAUAUUUGCGAGAGACCGAUAGCGAACAAGUACUGUGAAGGAAAGAUGAAAAGAACUUUGAAAAGAGAGUGAAAUAGUACGUGAAAUUGUUGAAAUGGAAGGGUAGGCUGCUAACCAUGUAGAACCGUGUUUGGGGGGAAGAUAAAAGCUACAGAACGUAACUCCUCGGAGCAUUAUAGCUGUAGUCCAUAUUCCCAUCCGAGCGCGAGGAUCUCAGGUUCUACUAAAUGGUGGUCUACCAC